RNAcentral lists this ribosomal RNA (253 nucleotides) under uncultured bacterium. RNAcentral describes it as "partial 16S ribosomal RNA". It matches the Rfam family "Bacterial small subunit ribosomal RNA", at positions 524 to 776 of the family's 1533-position model. The record is from RNAcentral.
UACGUAGGGUGCGAGCGUUAAUCGGAAUUACUGGGCGUAAAGCGUGCGUAGGCGGUUUCGCAAGUCCGCUGUGAAAGCCCCGGGCUCAACCUGGGAAUGGCAGUGGAAACUAGGAGACUUGAAUCUGGCAGAGGGGGGUGGAAUGCCGCGUGUAGCAGUGAAAUGCGUAGAGAUGUGGCGGAACACCGAUGGCGAAGGCAGCCCCCUGGGCUGAGAUUGACGCUCAGGCACGAAAGCGUGGGGAGCAAACAGG